RNAcentral lists this ribosomal RNA (462 nucleotides) under uncultured bacterium. RNAcentral describes it as "partial 16S ribosomal RNA". It matches the Rfam family "Bacterial small subunit ribosomal RNA", at positions 28 to 507 of the family's 1533-position model. The record is from RNAcentral.
GACGAACGCUGGCGGCGUGCUUAACACAUGCAAGUCGAACGGAAAGGCCCUUCGGGGUACUCGAGUGGCGAACGGGUCAGUAACACGUGGGUGAUCUGCCCUGCACUUUGGGAUAAGCCUGGGAAACUGGGUCUAAUACCGAAUAGGACCACGCGCUUCAUGGUGUGUGGUGGAAAGCUUUUGCGGUGUGGGAUGGGCCCGCGGCCUAUCAGCUUGUUGGUGGGGUAAUGGCCUACCAAGGCGACGACGGGUAGCCGGCCUGAGAGGGUGACCGGCCACACUGGGACUGAGAUACGGCCCAGACUCCUACGGGAGGCAGCAGUGGGGAAUAUUGCACAAUGGGCGCAAGCCUGAUGCAGCGACGCCGCGUGAGGGAUGACGGCCUUCGGGUUGUAAACCUCUUUCAAUAGGGACGAAGCGCAAGUGACGGUACCUAUAGAAGAAGCACCGGCCAACUACGUG